AUUACACUCCCUCAAUUCACCCGCACCGUGAUGUCUCCUCUGCAGACCAGCCCCCGCGACCUCAACUCCUCGACCACGCUCCACCAGACUAAAUCGUGCACAACCAGACGUGGGCGCAGACCAGACUUGCUAGCCCUCUCCCCCGACCACAAUUCGAUGACCUCUGCUCCCCGAAGACCAAACCCCGGCGUCAUCCGUUGUGCUUACAGCCACGCGCCUAACGGCUUUCCUUAUAGCCACACGCUCUCGCAUUUGUCGGUGAGAAUUUCGUCCUCUUGUUACUCAUACGAAGUUUGUUUUUAUUGUUGUGUUACUUAUACGAGGUCAUAAUCUUUUGUUUCACCAAUCAAACUCCGUGAAUUUUGUAAUGUUACUCUUCUUCAAUUGUCGUAGUAGGCACAUGGGUUGGAAGUUGAGAGAGGCAAGCCAUGAAAGGUCGACUCCUGAAUACGAAUGAAUUGGUUUGGCUUCACAGUCUUCAGUAGCAAGCAGUCACCAGAAUUGAAUUUGGAGAACAAAGUGAUGUUACUUUUCUUUGAUUCAGGAAACCUAUUGAACUAGCUCUCCCUCUAGACUUGAUUUAUUUGCAGCUCGUUUGAUUUCAAAAUUAAAUUUUAAAAUUUUAACUUUCACUUUAACUCAACACACAAACAAGUGGGCCCCAUAGAUUAUAAAACAUGCAAUUUCAUUAUAAUCAAUUAUCUACAUAAUCAAAACAGGUGGGGUCCACAACGGCUCAUUUUUAUUUGUCAUUUUUCACAAUUAAAAUCACAGUUACAAUUUCAAAAUUUUAAUUCUGAAAUCAAAUGGAUUGUUAGUGUUUCUGCUAUGGACUAAGCAAACAUGGUUUGCGGCGUUUUGGGUUUUAGAUGAAUGAAUAGUGCAUUUUCAAAUUGCUGGGGAGAAAGAGUGAUGAAAAUGGUUUUGGAAUCACAGCUGAGAUCAGAACUCAUUUUGAAUAGUGUAGAUUCGAUUAGGUUGAUUUUAUCCAAACAGGAUGAUGAUAAUUUUGUUAUUGGUCAUGUUCAUUAUGAUUUUUUGUUUUUGCUUUAUAUUGUUGAUCAACAUGCAGAUAUUGAUCAGUAAACGUCAUAAAUAGAAGCUGCAUCCCAAAAGGCAUAUUCUAGUAAGUAGAAUAAACUUUACAUCGUUAUUCAGUAAUAAUAAUAAUAAUAAUAAAGUUUACAUCGUUCACCUAAAAUUAACGGUUACAUCCAAGACUCAUGAGUACAUAUAUAAGUUGCAUCCUAAAAUUAUAUCUGGAAUAACGAUAUCGAUACAUAGGAUGUUCUAUUCAAGAGUAAUUUCACGAUAGUAACAUCUUCUUUGUGUUUUCUUCACCAGCAAUUACCAAAUAUCAAACAAUAGGAGGCAUGUCACCGGGAAAAAAGAUACGCAGCUGCCUUUCAUCUUUACAGGAUGUUUUUGGUCUUCAGACUUUAUAACUGCAACCGCAAACUCAUUAGAAUAUGCUCUGCGACUUACUCUUGACAGAUUCCCGGACUCCUGCAGAAGUAGAAGGAAGUAUGUGCACAUCUCAUGUUUCAUUGUCGAAAGCAUAGCUAACGAUUUAAAUUGGAAAGAACUAUGCUUUCAGUUGCAGAAUGAACUCAUCUCGUCUAUCAUGGAAAACCCCAGAAGGCGAACGAGUUCUGCAAAAUCAAAAGGUGCUGUAGUGUGGUCUGCGGGAAGCUGAGGUUGUUAGGAUAUGCUUAGGGAGAGGGAGUCGCGGGUACGGUCUCCACCAUCAUCCGGUUGAGGAGAUGGGAUCGCACUAGAUAAGUCAACUCGAAUCAGAACUGGAACUUGCAAAGUCUGAGCUCGUUUAGCAACAAGAGAAGACACAAACACUCUCUGGAGAAGCACAAAAGCUUGCCCAGGAAAAUGCGAAACUCCAGUAUCGGAUAGAGCAUCUUGUCCGGGCUAUUAAAGAGGCUGAUCGAAGGUUAGAGGGGUAGUGAGAUUUCUUUAUUUUCCCUGAAGCACCUCCACACCAUUAGCAGCAGGGCAAUCUUAUCAUUGUCUGAUUACAAAAGUUUUUGGAAAGGUGACAGAAGGUUUCGAUUAUACUGUAGACUGAUUCAAAGAAAUCUAAUUCUUGUAAUUACAUUCUUGCCCACCUGAUCGGUUGCCAUAUUAGUCAAAGAUUGGCUUAGUUCUGCCUUCGUAUAGUGCAGUGUUUUUCCAUUAUGAGAUUCUCGUGUGUGCUCGGUUUCUUCGUGACAUAUACCUGAUUGAAACGAGUGAGAAGUCUGCAGAUGCCAAAUGUUGACAAUUUUACUGUUUAUUCGUUGAAUGCUGUCAAAAUUUAUCUAUUUUAUGGAACUAAUUCUGUAGU
Molecule: non-coding RNA, 2338 nt
Organism: Punica granatum (pomegranate)
Lineage: Eukaryota; Viridiplantae; Streptophyta; Magnoliopsida; Myrtales; Lythraceae
Source: RefSeq, a predicted model, not a curated record